RNAcentral lists this ribosomal RNA (465 nucleotides) under Vreelandella stevensii. RNAcentral describes it as "partial 16S ribosomal RNA". It matches the Rfam family "Bacterial small subunit ribosomal RNA", at positions 338 to 795 of the family's 1533-position model. Lineage: Bacteria; Pseudomonadati; Pseudomonadota; Gammaproteobacteria; Oceanospirillales; Halomonadaceae. The record is from RNAcentral.
CCUACGGGUGGCUGCAGUGGGGAAUAUUGGACAAUGGGGGCAACCCUGAUCCAGCCAUGCCGCGUGUGUGAAGAAGGCCCUCGGCUUGUAAAGCACUUUCAGUGAGGAAGAACGCCUGGUGGUUAAUACCCAUCAGGAAAGACAUCACUCACAGAAGAAGCACCGGCUAACUCCGUGCCAGCAGCCGCGGUAAUACGGAGGGUGCGAGCGUUAAUCGGAAUUACUGGGCGUAAAGCGCGCGUAGGUGGCUUGAUAAGCCGGUUGUGAAAGCCCCGGGCUCAACCUGGGAACGGCAUCCGGAACUGUCAAGCUAGAGUGCAGGAGAGGAAGGUAGAAUUCCCGGUGUAGCGGUGAAAUGCGUAGAGAUCGGGAGGAAUACCAGUGGCGAAGGCGGCCUUCUGGACUGACACUGACACUGAGGUGCGAAAGCGUGGGUAGCAAACAGGAUUAGAUACCCCGGUAGUC